GCAACCGUAGUCUAAUGGAUAGAACGUUGGACUCCGACUCCAAUGAUGCGGGUUCGAUUCCCGCCGGGUGCA
This 72-nucleotide transfer RNA is filed under the name Lachnospiraceae bacterium. RNAcentral describes it as "tRNA-Arg". It matches the Rfam family "tRNA". From Rfam's summary of the family: Transfer RNA (tRNA) molecules are approximately 80 nucleotides in length. Their secondary structure includes four short double-helical elements and three loops (D, anti-codon, and T loops). Further hydrogen bonds mediate the characteristic L-shaped molecular structure. tRNAs have two regions of fundamental functional importance: the anti-codon, which is responsible for specific mRNA codon recognition, and the 3' end, to which the tRNAs corresponding amino acid is attached (by aminoacyl-tRNA synthetases). tRNAs cope with the degeneracy of the genetic code in two manners: having more than one tRNA (with a specific anti-codon) for a particular amino acid; and 'wobble' base-pairing, i.e. permitting non-standard base-pairing at the 3rd anti-codon position. Lineage: Bacteria; Bacillati; Bacillota; Clostridia; Lachnospirales; Lachnospiraceae. RNAcentral also lists the same sequence under 3 other names. The record is from RNAcentral.